This is a long non-coding RNA of Salmo trutta (river trout), 501 nucleotides long. NCBI's taxonomy places the organism in Eukaryota, Metazoa, Chordata, Actinopteri, Salmoniformes, Salmonidae. The record is from Ensembl.
UUAUGACUGAUUUAUGUAGCUUAAACACAAACAUGACGUUUUCUGAAGAACAAUAUGGAAAUACAUUUCUGUAAACAUAUUCCACAUGUUUUACAACAGCAGCUGACUUAUAACCUUACCCUUGCUGGGAGGAUGUUAGUGAGAGAGCUGGCAGUGUUAAACACACAGAUGUUCAUGAUGGAUCAGCCUGUUCUCAUCUGUUUCACUCUUGUUGGGAGGAUGGUGUGGGAGGAACUGUCUUCUCAAACUGAACAGCCAAAUAGUGAAGACUCUGGUUUUCCCUAUGAGAAGAUGCAGCUGGUUGGGAACUGGGGUUCAUUUCAUUUCCAUACCUGGAUAAUCCGUUAUGGACGAGUGCAGCAAAAUGAAGAGGACAUGCAUCACCUGUGCAUUGUGAGGGGAGUGGAGAAACAGCUGUGGUGGAGCAGAGUCAUUCAGGAAAAAAUCCUGGACCCAUGGGUGAGAGAUUCUCAACUGAUCUUUCAUCUCAAAUGCACCUGA